RNAcentral lists this ribosomal RNA (547 nucleotides) under Trachysalambria palaestinensis. RNAcentral's name for it is "partial 12S ribosomal RNA". The stretch from base 189 to 547 matches the Rfam family "Eukaryotic small subunit ribosomal RNA", at positions 1129 to 1702 of the family's 1831-position model. The record is from RNAcentral. Lineage: Eukaryota; Metazoa; Arthropoda; Malacostraca; Decapoda; Penaeidae.
GAUGUUUGGUUAAAAAUACUUAAAUGAUUAUAUUUAUCUAAGUGGAUUAUUUUGUGUCUAUAAAAGGUGAAAUUAAUUUUUUGUUGUACAAAUUAUUUUGUUUAUAUAUAUUAAGUUGAAGUUAUUAAGGUUAAGGUAUGGACCAGGAUUAGAGACCCUGUUACACUUUACUUUGAGUUUGAAUACCUGGGUAGUAAACAGUUAUAGCCUUGAAACUUAAAGGAUUUGGCGGUAAUUUAGUCUAGUUAGAGGAACCUGUCCUAUAAUCGAUAUACCACGAAAAAUCUUACUUUAUCUUGAAAAUAUCAGUUUAUAUACCGUCAUUAUCAGAUGACUUUAAGAAAAUAUUGAAGUUAUUAUAAUAAUUUUUAGUUAAUAUAUUAGAUCAAGGUGUAGCUAAUGAUAAAGUAGAGAUGGGUUACAAUAAUACUAGUUUAUAUGAAUCUAAGGGGGAAGAUUCUUAGUGAAGGAGGAUUUAAAUGUAAAGGUACUUUAAUAUGGUAUUUUGAUUAUAGCUCUAGGUUAUGUACACAUCGCCCGUCGCUCU